CCCAUCUACACGCUCUUAAGACCUCGCAACGUUCCAAACCCACUUUCCCUAUUAAAAACUAACAACGUUCUACUGAUUCUCGAACUCGUGAGGAGACCUGACGGCCCACACGCUUCCCAAGGCCAGAACCGCCUCAAGCGCGGCCUCCACCGCACGAAGCCGCCUCAGCACUCACCGCCUCACGCACCGCCCGCCCCAACAACGGCACCCAGCGGCGGGCUCCACAGCCAGCCCCGACUGCCUGGGAAACACCCACCCCACUCGAGCCCGCUCUUCCAGUCCGCCUCACGAUUUGCUUCUGGUCUGGAUGAUGUGGAUAUCUACACAUUUUCAGCUGAAGAAAUGGAAAUAGCAUAUUAAGAACCAAAUUCCAUAGGAAAAAAAACAAUUAAGAACAAACCAACAAAAAAGGAAGUGAGCAGAGGUUGGUGGUAUAGUCAAUAUUUACAGAAAUUAUGUAUUUUUAAGUUAUUUCUAGUCCAAAUGUUUUCAUAUAGGAUGUCUUGUCUUUCUGAAUUACCUUCACCUGUGCUCCCGCAGCUGACCCAUCAUUUGCCUCAGAUGGUUGGUUAAUCAGAGGCUCAGGCUGUGAUCAACAGUUUCCCAUACAGAUGUUUAGUUCUAAGCCUCAGUAGCUGGAAUGCAUUUACUGAGCAGAACAGGAGCGUAAUGUUUACAAACAGCAUUGCUGUAACAGUGUCUUUUAGCACAGUUAUCCCUUAGCAUGUAGAGUCACUCCACGUUGAAACCAGCAGUAUUCCAGUUUAUUUUGAGGAAUGUGUAAGUAGCUGAUUGCAACAAAUAUACUGGUUUUUAAUUCCUUUUAAGCUGCUGUUUUCUUUUCAGUUGAUUUGUCUGUUUUUUUCCUUAUUAAACAACUGGAGAGUUAAAACGCAUUUUUAUACAACAAAUCAUGAAAACAUAACUCCAUUAGUUGUUGUAUAAGCUAAAAUUGCCCUUCAGUGAAAAUUUGCUUAAAAAGUACAGUCAGUUUGCUGAAGCAUUACAGUGUAUGUUUCAGAUAAGAUUUUGUUGUCUUUCUAACAUGAAAUCCGUGGCAUGGGCUGUUUUCUAUUUGUGUAAGCUUGACAAGAUACCGAUGUGGAAGACUUCCUCCAUUUUACUUAAAAUG
This 1132-nucleotide long non-coding RNA is filed under the name Coturnix japonica (Japanese quail). RNAcentral's name for it is "lncRNA (ENSCJPG00005001230.1)". The record is from RNAcentral. Lineage: Eukaryota; Metazoa; Chordata; Aves; Galliformes; Phasianidae.